This 453-nucleotide ribosomal RNA is filed under the name uncultured bacterium. RNAcentral's name for it is "bacterial SSU rRNA". It matches the Rfam family "Bacterial small subunit ribosomal RNA", at positions 338 to 783 of the family's 1533-position model. The record is from RNAcentral.
CCUACGGGUGGCAGCAGUGGGGAAUAUUGCACAAUGGGCGCAAGCCUGAUGCAGCCAUGCCGCGUGUGUGAAGAAGGCCUUCGGGUUGUAAAGCACUUUCAGCGGGGAGGAAGGCGAUAAGGUUAAUAACCUUGUCGAUUGACGUUACCCGCAGAAGAAGCACCGGCUAACUCCGUGCCAGCAGCCGCGGUAAUACGGAGGGUGCAAGCGUUAAUCGGAAUUACUGGGCGUAAAGCGCACGCAGGCGGUCUGUCAAGUCGGAUGUGAAAUCCCCGGGCUCAACCUGGGAACUGCAUUCGAAACUGGCAGGCUAGAGUCUUGUAGAGGGGGGUAGAAUUCCAGGUGUAGCGGUGAAAUGCGUAGAGAUCUGGAGGAAUACCGGUGGCGAAGGCGGCCCCCUGGACAAAGACUGACGCUCAGGUGCGAAAGCGUGGGGAGCAAACAGGAUUAGAU